UACAAGUGUUUUGUAGUCUUCUCGAUGUC
This 29-nucleotide non-coding RNA is filed under the name Rattus norvegicus (Norway rat). The record is from RNAcentral. Lineage: Eukaryota; Metazoa; Chordata; Mammalia; Rodentia; Muridae.